This is a long non-coding RNA of Ficedula albicollis (Collared flycatcher), 2304 nucleotides long. Lineage: Eukaryota; Metazoa; Chordata; Aves; Passeriformes; Muscicapidae. The record is from Ensembl.
AGGGGCGGGGCCAGAGCUGCGCGCGCGGCGUGACGGGCACGUGACGGCGCACGGAGGGGCGGGAGCGCGCGGGAGGGACCGGGACCAACUCCAAAGGGACCGGCACUAACCACCGGGAUAGGGACUAACCACCGGAACCGGAACUAACCACCGGGAUAGGGACUAACCACCGGAACCGGAACUAACCACCGGGACAGGGACUAACCCCAACAGGACCAACCCCACCGGGACCGGGACUAACUACUGGGACAGGAUCUAACCCCAACGGGAUCGGGACUAACACACUGGGACUAACACACCGGGACCGGGACUAACCCCACCGGGACAGGGACUAGCACACCGGGACCGGGACUAACUACUGGGACAGGGUCUAACCCCAACGGGAGCGGCACUAACCCCAACGGGAUCGGGACUAACACACCGGGACUAACACACCGGGACAGGGACUAACACACCGGGACAGGGACUAACCCCAACGGGACCGGGACUAACACACCGGGACAGGGACUAACCCCAACGGGACCGGGACUAACCCCAACGGCACCGGGACCAACCACCGGGACCGGGUCUAACACACCGGGACAGGGACUAACCCCAACGGGACCGGGACUAACCCCAACGGCACCGGGACCAACCACCGGGACCGGGUCUAACACACCGGGACAGGGACUAACCCCAACGGGACCGGGACUAACCCCAACGGCACCGGGACCAACCACCGGGACCGGGUCUAACACACCGGGACAGGGACUAACCCCAACGGGACCGGGACUAACCCCAACGGCACCGGGACCAACCACCGGGACCGGGUCUAACACACCGGGACAGGGACUAACCCCAACGGGACCGGGACUAACCCCAACGGCACCGGGACCAACCACCGGGACCGGGUCUAACACACCGGGACAGGGACUAACCCCAACGGGACCGGGACUAACCCCAACGGCACCGGGACCAACCACCGGGACCGGGUCUAACACACCGGGACAGGGACUAACCCCAACGGGACCGGGACUAACCCCAACGGCACCGGGACCAACCACCGGGACCGGGUCUAACACACCGGGACAGGGACUAACCCCAACGGGACCGGGACUAACCCCAACGGCACCGGGACCAACCACCGGGACCGGGUCUAACACACCGGGACAGGGACUAACCCCAACGGGACCGGGACUAACCCCAACGGCACCGGGACCAACCACCGGGACCGGGUCUAACACACCGGGACAGGGACUAACCCCAACGGGACCGGGACUAACCCCAACGGCACCGGGACCAACCACCGGGACCGGGUCUAACACACCGGGACAGGGACUAACCCCAACGGGACCGGGACUAACCCCAACGGCACCGGGACCAACCACCGGGACCGGGUCUAACACACCGGGACAGGGACUAACCCCAACGGGACCGGGACUAACCCCAACGGGACCAACCCCACCGGGACCGGGACCAACCCCAACGGGACCGGGACUAACCACCGGGACAGGGACUAACCCCAACAGGACCAACCCCACCGGGACCGGGACUAACUACUGGGACAGGGUCUAACCCCAACGGGAUCGGGACUAACACACUGGGACUAACACACCGGGACCGGGCAGGGACUAACCCCAACAGGACCAACCCCACCGGGACCGGGACUAACUACUGGGACAGGGUCUAACCCCAACGGGAUCGGGACUAACACACUGGGACUAACACACCGGGACCGGGACUAACCCCACCGGGACAGGGACUAGCACACCGGGACCGGGACUAACUACUGGGACAGGGUCUAACCCCAACGGGAGCGGCACUAACCCCAACGGGAUCGGGACUAACACACCGGGACUAACACACCGGGACAGGGACUAACACACCGGGACAGGGACUAACCCCAACGGGACCGGGACUAACCCCAACGGCACCGGGACCAACACACUGGGACCGGGACUAACCACCGGGACAGGGACCAACUACCGGGACCAGCGGACUAACCCCAACGGGACCAACCCCACCGGGACCGGGACCAACCCCAACGGGACCGGGACUAACCACCGGGACAGGGACUAACCCCAACGGGACCGGAACAUCCCACCAGGAACCCCUCACCGGCCCGGGCCGGCCCCGCUGCUGUCUCCCUCCUUUCCGCCGCCCCGGUCCUGUGCUCGCUCCCCGGUCCCGCCCCGCGCCCCCGGUAGCGGAGCAGAGACCAGGCGGGCACCAAAGGCGUUUAUUCAGCACUGGGGCAGCGCCCUCCGUCCUUCCGUCCCUCCGUCCUCCCGUCCUCCCCGGUGUCCGUGAGCGCCGGGAUCCUCC